GACGAACGCUGGCGGCGUGCUUAACACAUGCAAGUCGAACGGAAAGGCCCUGCUUUUGUGGGGUGCUCGAGUGGCGAACGGGUGAGUAACACGUGAGUAACCUGCCCUUGACUUUGGGAUAACUUCAGGAAACUGGGGCUAAUACCGGAUAGGAGCUCCUGCUGCAUGGUGGGGGUUGGAAAGUUUCGGCGGUUGGGGAUGGACUCGCGGCUUGUCAGCUUGUUGGUGGGGUAGUGGCUUACCAAGGCUUUGACGGGUAGCCGGCCUGAGAGGGUGACCGGCCACAUUGGGACUGAGAUACGGCCCAGACUCGUACGGGAGGCAGAAGUGGGGAAGAUUGCACAACGGGCGGAAGCCUGAUGCAGCAACGCCGCGUGCGGGAUGACGGCCUUCGGGUUGUAAACCGCUUUCGCCUGUGACGAAGCGUGAGUGACGGUAAUGGGUAAAGAAGCACCGGCUAACUACGUG
RNAcentral lists this ribosomal RNA (468 nucleotides) under uncultured bacterium. Its description in RNAcentral is "partial 16S ribosomal RNA". It matches the Rfam family "Bacterial small subunit ribosomal RNA", at positions 28 to 507 of the family's 1533-position model. The record is from RNAcentral.